This 270-nucleotide ribosomal RNA is filed under the name uncultured bacterium. RNAcentral describes it as "partial 16S ribosomal RNA". It matches the Rfam family "Bacterial small subunit ribosomal RNA", at positions 87 to 353 of the family's 1533-position model. The record is from RNAcentral.
CCCGGCGACCGGCGCACGGGUGAGUAACACGUAUGAAACCUGCCCGUAGCAGGGGGAUAAGCGGAAGAAAUUCCGUCUAAUACCGCGUAACAACCCAUGGAGGCAUCUCUGUGGGUUUAAAGGAAGCGAUUCCGGCUACGGAUGGUCAUGCGUCGCAUUAGCUUGUUGGCGGGGUAACGGCCCACCAAGGCGACGAUGCGUAGGGGUUCUGAGAGGAAGGUCCCCCACACUGGUACUGAGACACGGACCAGACUCCUACGGGAGGCAGCA